This 415-nucleotide non-coding RNA is filed under the name Dipodomys ordii (Ord's kangaroo rat). Its description in RNAcentral is "Eukaryotic small subunit ribosomal RNA". It matches the Rfam family "Eukaryotic small subunit ribosomal RNA", at positions 27 to 874 of the family's 1831-position model. Lineage: Eukaryota; Metazoa; Chordata; Mammalia; Rodentia; Heteromyidae. The record is from Rfam by way of RNAcentral.
UAUAUUAUAUUAUAUUAUUUUAUAUUAUAUUCAUAUAAUAUACUAACACUCCUGACCCGUGAAAGUAGUGACAAAAAUAACAAUACAAGACUCUUUAGAGUCCUUGUAAUUGGAAUGAGUCCACUUUAAAUCCUUUCAUAAGGAUCCAUUGGAGGGCAAGUCUGGUGGCAGCAGCUGUGGUAACUCCAGCUCCAAUAGUGUAUAUUAAAGUUGCUGGAGUUAGAAAGCUCCUAGUUGGAUCUUGGGAGUGGGCAGUGAUCCGUCGUGAGGUGAGUCAUACCUCUCGGUGCCCCCUUCCAUACUCUUAGCUGAGUGUUCCACCCAGGCUGAAGCAUUUUGAAAAAAAAUUCAAAGCAGACUGGAACUGGACUUAACUCUCCAAUUAAGCAACAUAAAUUGUCUAGUUGGAUUAAAA